Molecule: ribosomal RNA, 498 nt
Filed under: uncultured bacterium
Lineage: Bacteria
Description: partial 16S ribosomal RNA
Rfam family: Bacterial small subunit ribosomal RNA
Source: RNAcentral
GGAUGAACGCUGGCGGCGUGCCUAAUACAUGCAAGUCGAGCGAACGGACGAGAAGCUUGCUUCUCUGAUGUUAGCGGCGGACGGGUGAGUAACACGUGGAUAACCUACCUAUAAGACUGGGAUAACUUCGGGAAACCGGAGCUAAUACCGGAUAAUAUUUUGAACCGCAUGGUUCAAAAGUGAAAGACGGUCUUGCUGUCACUUAUAGAUGGAUCCGCGCUGCAUUAGCUAGUUGGUAAGGUAACGGCUUACCAAGGCAACGAUGCAUAGCCGACCUGAGGGGGUGAUCGGCCACACUGGAACUGAGACACGGUCCAGACUCCUACGGGAGGCAGCAGUAGGGAAUCUUCCGCAAUGGGCGAAAGCCUGACGGAGCAACGCCGCGUGAGUGAUGAAGGUCUUCGGAUCGUAAAACUCUGUUAUUAGGGAAGAACAUAUGUGUAAGUAACUGUGCACAUCUUGACGGUACCUAAUCAGAAAGCCACGGCUAACUACGUG